Molecule: RNA transcript, 6858 nt
Organism: Tympanuchus pallidicinctus (lesser prairie-chicken)
Lineage: Eukaryota; Metazoa; Chordata; Aves; Galliformes; Phasianidae
Gene name: amphiphysin-like
Exons: 5
Source: RefSeq, a predicted model, not a curated record
GGCCAUUUAAAGGUAAAACAUUUCUUUCAAAAAUGGGGGAGAACUGAUGUAGAACAGUGUUCUUCUGUUCUAAGUCAGCAGAGGCAGAUUGCACUCUGUUUAUGGAACUGCAGCAUUACUUAGGCACUGUUUCAGUAAUCCUAUUUACUAGACGUUUACGCCUGGCGUGGCAUAAAAAUAAACAUUGCACUGCCGUGCUUCCCUGCUAAAACUCAGUCAUCCUUACCAUCCCGACUCCUAACUAAUCAAAAGAUCAGUGCUGCUAACUUUACCAGUACAAAAUAGUCCUUAAGAAGUAAGGGCAACUCUCCUUACCUUUCUCUUUCCCAAAAAAUCUGCUUCCAGUUAUGCUUGAAACGAGCCCUCAUUUAAAAGUAUAUGUAUGAAUGCAUCAAAUUUUGAAUGAGGCCCAAGCUGUAAGCUUGGUUGAUGGAAUUCUUAUGGGAAAGAGUUUCCAGGUUACUGAUAGGAGAAGGGUAGGGACAAACACAUUCCUGACAUAGAGCAGUGCUCAUUUCUGAAGGCAAAUUGGCUUUUAAGUACAGCUUAUUAAGAAAUUCAGCACUUUUUAAUAGUACGAGUCAGAAAAGUGUUUCUGUACCAACUUGCCAUUGCCAUCAGACGCAUGGCUUUUAUGAGGCAAUGGAAAUAUUUGUUUACCUCUCCUGUUUAAAAAAAUAAAUAAAUAAAAAUUAAGCGACAUGCUGUAGCAAGCAUGCAUGCUUUGCUGGAGUAAGAAAUAAUUAUAUUUUGCAGUUGAAGCUUGUGGGAUUUUUUUUCUUUUUAAAACCCUAUACAGUCUGUUUUAAAAUUAAUGUAAAAAUCAGGUCUUCGCAGCAUGGUUUGGCAGCUUGAAAGAAGAAUUAAUCCUGUAUGUAUAAUAGAAAAGGUGAUGUCACACUGCAGUUUUAGCAGGAUAAAGCUGUGAGGGGUUUGCAUGGUAACGCUGCUGUCAGCAGCUGCCUUGCCCUGGCGUCUGGACAGGUCUGGGUCUUAUGAGGUGACUGCAGGAAGAUGAGCUUAGAAAACACAUGAGUGAAGUGAAGUUUGGAUAUAACGCAGCAUCCUUUUAUUAAACAAGAUAACAUGCAAGCAUUUCAGAUGAAACGUGCAGGAGUUUUGGUGUGGCAGGUGUGUGGAGGCAGUGAGCUGGAGGCUGAGCACUGAGGUCUGAUCACAAGUGCUAAAGAUGGUGAUCUGCUCUGCCUGCACUCACACAGAUCUGCACGACUUGUCUUCACCCUUACAGGGCUUUUGAAAAAUCUGACAUAUGUAUGUUUGCUGAGCAACCUCAACAUUUAUUAGUGAAAGAGAUUUCUAUAAGGGGGCUUAGAUUUACUUUUCCUCUGAAAAGCAUCUUUAGAAAUAUCCUGCAAUCUGCAGGAAGCCAAGACUGAGCAGAAGAGAAAAGCACUUCCAAGUGUUCCAAAUGAGACAUGAACUACAGCCAUCUUGACUGUUUGUUGACCUAAUCUGGACCUGAACCUCUUGAUCCAGGCUGAGCAAUAGCCAGAACUGAAUCUAAACUCAAGCAGAAGGGAUGUUGCUGACUGAAUCCCAAAAUGCUACAGUGGAAUUGGAAGCCAGCAGGAGCACAACUGUCCCACAGAGUUUAGGAAAUUGUACGUUUUUUCCUCUUCCAAACCUGGAACUUGUGCAGUUUUACAGCUUCUGUAGUAAAGGACCUUGUGUUAGAUCCCAUCUGUGCUGUGAGAAGUAUUGUUUGGGGUGGAGAGCAUCACUGUUGAGAGCAAUUGAUUCCUUGGACAUCUUCAUGGGUGCCACAUUUAGAGCCACUGACACACGUCUGCUGUUUGAAAUGUCAGGCACCCACUGCAUGUACAGCUGAGUGUGGACCUGGAGGAAAGUGAUUCUGCAGCACUGAUGAGCUUUGUGACCCACCUCUUUGAACAAUCCCCUGCCGUGUGUUUCAGCCCAACGCGUGUGGAAGAAGUGUUCCAGGAAGUUUUCCUGCAAACUGGAGAGUAUCGGGGCAGGGGAUAAGGAGACAACUGGAAUUGCUGAGAAAGAGAGCGAGGUGGUGAGUGCUGCAGAUGGGCCACUGGAGUGGAAGACAGUGUGGUGGUGGGAUCAGGAGCUGGUGAGGGUGCUGCUCCCACAGAACAGGAGGCUGCUGCUGGAGGUGACAAACCUCAGGGAGAAGAAAAGGAGAUAGAUGUUUCCCAGGUACCUCAUGUUGUUGUGUGGGGAGCAUUAGAGGAAUCCAGCCAGAUCCAGCAGCUUCAGCACAGGCGAGGCUGAUGCAGCUCCAUGCCCCAGGGUCCAACAAGCAGUGAGGAUGAGCAUGUAUUCUCAGUCAGUGCACACACAGAGCACACAGACAUAUUUGUACACACACAGACAGCCAUGGGAAUCAAAGGCAGGCACACGGGGUACUCACACAAACACAAGCAUUACCGGAGGCCUCAUCGCGUUCACCUCUGGCUGAGUAGGUAGAGCUCUACUAGUGAGAAUACAUGUAUUCGUAUGUACAUGCUGUUGUCACUCAAGUCCACUCACCUGAGUGUCUCCAGUGGCUGGCACCUGGAUCUCUCCUGCAGCUGGCAGAUGGGCACACAGGCCUUCCAAUCCACGGUCUGAGCCUAAUGCACACACGAGCAAGAACAACAGACAGCCCUCACCCUGGAGAGGAGUUAGCCAGCAACUUGAUGAGAAGAUAGGACAGACCACACUCAUCAGGUGCAGGACGUGGCCAGAUAACAUCUGAACUGUCCAUGCUUACGUGCAAGCAGUCCAUUUCUGCUGUUACCUGUGCCUUUGUUGUCCCACACUUGUUCCUCCCCAGAUCGCCUCAACCCACCCACUGCUUUUGGUUUCUCCCUUAAGCAUCCCAUAGUAAGUCUUGUACAGUAAUAUGUCCCAUGGCUCUUGGCAACAACCUCCCUCAGUCCUGAAGGUGCUCUGCUGUGUGAUGGAUUUCACACAGACACUGGGACAGCCCUGAAAGAGGUCCAGGUCACUUCUGCUUUUCACCUUGUGUUCCUCUAAGCUCUUAGAACUUUUACUUUUCUGCACAAUUAUUGUUCUCUAUCUUGAGGUAAGAAUCCCACCUGCAGCAGAAGUAAAGAAACAUGUUUUUCAACUUGAAAUAAAGCGGGAGAUACUCUUGUGGUGCUUUUGUUGUAUUUUAUUUCUUUUCUAGGAAAGAAAUGAAAUUACUACCCUUCGGUAGUAAUGGAGCCAGCAUCGAACAACGCAGGGGAAGGAGAAGAACAUGAUGUCAUGAUGAAUGAGUCCGAAGAUGCUGCAGCAGAGAUGGGCACUCAGGCACUGAUGGUGAAACUUGCCAAGUUGGAAGUGAGCAGGAACCAACUGAAGAAAUGCAGACCUUCUCAAGAUCAGCCUGCGUCAGCAGGAGGCACAGCUUCUGACAUGCCACUGGGCUUUCUCUUUAAGGUUGAAGUUCUGCAUGAUUUUGAGGCAGCUAACGGUGACCAGCUUAAUUUGAAUGGAGGGGAUAUUGCACUAGUAAUUCCUUCUGAGACCACAGCUGAUCAGGUAACAACAACAUGAUUACUUAUUUCUUUUGCUAAUGUUUCCUUUUGUCUCAGUUUCCUUCUCACUCUUUAGAGUUAAUUUGAAAUGUUGGUUCAAAACAUCUUUACUGUUAGAAAACACCAGCAUUCUUAUUUUGCCCUUCUACUUGGUUUGAUUUGUGACCAAGCAGCACAGCUAACUAAGCUGAAGUCCCAGGUAUGUACUGCCAGCAGGAUCCAACUUCAGUCCAUUUUUCUAGGGCACUUUUAUGUUGCUUUGUAGUGAAUUUUAUACAGGCUUACAUACAGGCACAGGCUGAAUACAGAAGACGGCUUACAAAUUGUGCAUCCUGCUAUCAUGUUGUUGUAACACUGGGUCAGAACUGACUGUAUUUCCCCACACGUUCAGAGUUUUACAUGGAGAUCAGGAGAAAUAUGCGUUUGCCCGGAGAGAGCACUGAGACUGCACACCAACAGUUCUGUCCUGCAGCCCAAUGGCACAGAGGUGUUCCUGCAUGUCCUGUGUGCCUCUUGGGACCUGAGCCUCACAGCUGUGCUCCUGAGCUGCACCAGCAAUCGCUUUGUCUUUGGUGCAAGAACUCAACAGUUCAGUGUCAUUUAAGAUGCUUUAUUUUGUUUUAACAGUGUGUUUCAGGUUAAUUUUUAAACGAUUUGAUUCCACACGUUAUGUUGAUUUGCAGUCAAGUGAAUGAAUUUUUUACCUCCUCUUUAAGAGCAGCCCAUCUUGUACAAUUCGUACGAGCCACUUUGUGGCUGCAGUGGCAGAAAGCGUUGAUGAAAAGCAUCCCAUUGAACUGGGAGCUGGGAGGUUGGGCUCUGGACCUGCACAGUGAGACAGCCAGGUCUCUGCUCCGAAUGAAGAGCAGUUCUUCAAACAUGCCCAAAUGCUGUCAGCGCGUGUUUGGAGAGCCAGAGACUGUUUGUUAUCUAAGCUGAACUCUCUCUUAAUACAAGAGACGAGUAAUUGCUUUGGUUUUUGAUUCUUUUUUAUUGUUGUUUCUGAAUAAAAGAUUAUUUUAUUUUCCUUUUCACUGGGACACUUUGUUAUUUUGUAGGGACAGAUCCUCUUAUGCUUACUCAAACUGUGCUGCGUCUCACCUCUUGGGCUGUUCAGCUGAGUUCAUUGUCAGUAUUUGCAGGAUCUACUCUAAGGAUAUAAAAAUAGGCUGUCCUCAGUUAUUUUUUCUUAUCAUGUUUUGUAUUAAAUCUAUAUAACCUUCCCUUGGUGAAUCCAUUGAUUGUUUUUCUCUUGUGGUGUGCAUCCAAAUCCCAUUAGCGUUCAUUGGAGUGAAUCGUGUGCAGUGAUGGAGAAAAUGAAGCCCCAUGUAUUCGUGUUGCUGAGAUCGUUCUGCUCAUAUCUUUAUUACUCAGUGCAUAUUUGCCCUUUGUGUUUCACAUCACCUAGAACUCAAUUUUUCUCUCUUACCAGAUAAUUUGUUGAUUUCAGAGAGUAUUUGAUCUUGGUUCUUUCUUCUCCUGCAAAAUUGAUCUAAGACCAUCAUUCUGAGAUAGCUGGUGCUGUCAGCCUGUGCUCCCUGUGCAAAGUCAACUCAUCCCAGCCAGUGACUCCAACUUUUAUCCGUAAUUAUUGAGUUGAAGUCAUCAUCCAUUACAGCUUCAGUCCUGAGCAGAAUCUACUCUGUCCAUGGUAGAAAACUUCAGUUCCCCCACCUCAGGUUUUCCAAAAGGUGACUUCAAAAACGUGCUGCCAGUUACUCCAUCUCUCUUCAUACUUUCUGUAGAAUAAUAAUGAAUCAGCAUUAGAAAUUGCCUGCUAAUCAUCACUUUACUCUGACUCCUGUUCUUAAAAGGAACAAAGCACAGAGUUAGCCAUGUGGUGAGAUGAAAAUAGGCUGAUCACUGCAAAAAUACUGCAUGGGUUUUAUUCCAGGUGAAAUGGAUAGCACCUAGGAGAACCAGCACUUUCCAGUAAGAAAUCUUCCUUUGGAUUGAUGGAUUUGGAUUGCAGCAUUGCAUGCCAAGAUCUGGCUUAGGCUGAAGCUUCCAGGAAUUUCUGGAAAAGGUUGUUGAGUAUCAACUGACUUUUAGUUUCUAGCGAUUGUGAUGGCAGAGAAAACAAGAACUGUUAUUUCUUCUGACUGUCAAUACAGGGAUGAGAGAAAAGAACUCUCAGAAAAAAAUAAUCAGAUGAAAACAUGGAUUUUUCCCCCUCAUCUGUGGCAUUCUAUAAUGAUUCUAGCACACUGCUGUGCUCUUCCUGCGAGGCUGCUUGACAGGCAUUAAGGAAUCUGAGUGGCUUCAGCACAGAGAUGCAAAUGGUUAUAAAGGACUUUUCCCAGAGAACUUCACACGCCAUCUGGAACAGUUCUUCUCACAGGCACACGAAUGUGGUUUGAAGCUCAGUCAGUGGGUUCUUCACCUCCUUGAAACACAGGAGCCCCCUUUUUUUGUAGUUCAGGCUGUUAAUGGUUUACAGAUUGGUUGCUUGUUGAAGCGUAUCAAAAUGAGCAUGAGUGCAAGCAGUUAAGCUAGCCAUUUCUGAAGCAGUGUGUGAAAAAAAAUCAAAUACAAACAGAAAUGUCCUCAUUUGUUCACAUGCACGUGGCAACAGGUUUGUUUGUGCUUUGCCAGAGCUGUGGUGAUCCUGUGUUUGGUCCUUUCCCAUGAAAUCCAAAAUUAGCCUCCUUGGUAGCAAAACCUGAACUUGUCUGCACUCAGUGCAUCGUAUUGAGUUGCACUGCAGAAAACUUAAUUAGUAAUCCUGUAGUAAUGAGGUCAAACUAUUACAAGUUUCACUUGUUUAAAAAAUAUCAUUAACUGCUGCAAUGUUUUCCAGUGUUACUUGGAUGUGUGUCUGCAGGUGCAUGUGGGUAUGUGUGCAUCUCAGCAAUGUCAUGCAGUGCUGUGGCUGUGCAGUGCCAUCAGGGCAUGCAUUGCUCUCCCACUGUCUGGCAUUCCAGACAACAGUUUUGUUCCAAAGCAGAACCAGCUGCUCCAUUGCCAAAGCACUGCACAGCGUCCGUGUGAGUGAGGUGAGGUUUUCAUUCUGAGAUGAUGAAUGGCAUCGUUUUCAAAGCUGCUGAACCUUUGAGAAGGCAUGGCUCGGUUUCCUCUUCCGGCUGCAGUAGUUACAGUGAGGUAAUCUGGAAGGGGAACUGUUAUGAUGCUCAUCUAUACUUUUUUAUUUAGUUGGCUGAAUAAAAAAAAACACGACAAAGUUAAUCUCUGAGAAAUAAACAUCUUUUCACAAUAAUAUUUAUGCAGCGCACCUUACAGAUCCUUUUAAAUUAAGGUACAUAAUGUAUGCUGUAUCAAAAAGUCACCUGUAACUUCUGUUUUCCAGUGCUGUGUCAUUAAAAAUAAACCUGUGAUCCACAGA